Molecule: non-coding RNA, 964 nt
Organism: Acyrthosiphon pisum (pea aphid)
Lineage: Eukaryota; Metazoa; Arthropoda; Insecta; Hemiptera; Aphididae
Source: Rfam
CCAAGUCGGCUUCGGCCGGCUGGGGGCGCACCUUAGCGCACACGUUGGUACCCGAAAGAUGGUGAACUAUGCCUGGCCAGGAUGAAGUCAGGGGAAACCCUGAUGGAGGUCCGCAGCGAUUCUGACGUGCAAAUCGAUCGUCUGAGCUGGGUAUAGGGGCGAAAGACUAAUCGAACCAUCUAGUAGCUGGUUCCAUCCGAAGUUUCCCUCAGGAUAGCUGGCGCCGAUGUGUCCCGCCCGUUCGCGGGCGUACGGACGCCGGUGGGACUCCGCGCUGUACGGCGCGGUAACAACACGCUCGUAACACGGAGGAUGUCUCAUACGGUAAAGCGAAUGAUUAGAGGACAUUGGGGCCGAAACGACCUCAACCUAUUCUCAAACUAUAAAUGAGUGAGAUCGCCGGCUUUACCUGGUACACCGCGUGAACCGCGUGCGAAGCCGGCGACGGAACCCUAGGCGCUUAGUGGGCCAUUUUUGGUAAGCAGAACUGGCGCUGCGGGAUGAACCGAACGCCGAGUUAAGGCGCCGAAAUCGACGCGUAUUCAGAGACCAUGAAAGGCGUUGGUUGCUGAUGACAGCAGGACGGUGGCCAUGGAAGUCGGAAUCCGCUAAGGAGUGUGUAACAACUCACCUGCCGAAGCAACUAGCUCUGAAAAUGGAUGGCGCUGGAGCGUCGUGCCUAUACUCGGCCGUCGACGGCAUAGUGGGGCCAGUCGUCGCUCGCGGCGGCCGGUCCCGGCAAGCCUCGACGAGUAGGAUGGCGCGGCGGUGUGCGUCGAAGGGCAGGUCGCGAGACCGCCUGGAGCCGCCGUCGGUGCAGAUCUUGGUGGUAGUAGCAAAUACUCGAGAGGGGCCCUCGGGGGCUGCCGUGGAGAAGGGUUUCUUGUGAACAGCCGUUGUCCAAGAGUCAGUCGAUCCUAAGCCCGGGGAGAGAUCCUCGUACCACGGGCGAAGGCGUUUCGAA